RNAcentral lists this transfer RNA (74 nucleotides) under Bacteroidota bacterium. RNAcentral's name for it is "Bacteroidetes bacterium (permafrost metagenome) tRNA-Gln". It matches the Rfam family "tRNA". From Rfam's summary of the family: Transfer RNA (tRNA) molecules are approximately 80 nucleotides in length. Their secondary structure includes four short double-helical elements and three loops (D, anti-codon, and T loops). Lineage: Bacteria; Pseudomonadati; Bacteroidota. The record is from RNAcentral.
UGGGAGAUCGUCUAGCGGUAGGACAAUAGGUUCUGGACCUAUUAACCGGGGUCCGAAUCCCUGUCUCCCAGCCA